GAUGAACGCUGGCGGCGUGCCUAAUACAUGCAAGUCGAGCGAACGGACGAGAAGCUUGCUUCUCUGAUGUUAGCGGCGGACGGGUGAGUAACACGUGGAUAACCUACCUAUAAGUCUGGGAUAACUUCGGGAAACCGGAGCUAAUACCGGAUAAUAUUUUGAACCGCAUGGUUCAAAAGUGAAAGACGGUCUUGCUGUCACUUAUAGAUGGAUCCGCGCUGGAUUAGCUAGUUGGUAAGUUAACGGCUUACCAAGGCAACGAUGCAUAGCCGACCUGAGAGGGUGAUCGGCCACACGGGAACUGAGACACGGUCCAGACUCCUGCGGGAGGCAGCAGUCGGGAAUGUUCGGCAAUGGGCGAAAGCCUGACGCAGCAACGCCGCGUGAGAGAUGAAGGUCUUCGGAUCGUAAAACUCUGUUAUUGGGGAAGAACAGAUGUGUAAGUAGCUGUGCCCAUAUUGACGGUACCUAAUCAGAAAGCAACGGCUAACUACGUG
RNAcentral lists this ribosomal RNA (497 nucleotides) under uncultured bacterium. RNAcentral's name for it is "partial 16S ribosomal RNA". It matches the Rfam family "Bacterial small subunit ribosomal RNA", at positions 28 to 507 of the family's 1533-position model. The record is from RNAcentral.